RNAcentral lists this ribosomal RNA (573 nucleotides) under Triticum aestivum (bread wheat). Its description in RNAcentral is "partial small subunit ribosomal RNA". Lineage: Eukaryota; Viridiplantae; Streptophyta; Magnoliopsida; Poales; Poaceae. The record is from RNAcentral.
AUGAACACUUCUAGGAAAAACACAAAAACUGGAAAGUUGGAGAAGCAACAAUUUGUUUGCAACAAGUUCCUAAAACCAAAAGUUGAUGAUGGAGGUGCGGAAACUGUCCCUGCCCUAGAUGUGAUUGAGGACACUAAUGGAGAUGCAGAAGAUGGUGCGAACAAUGAGAUUGUCUUCCUUGAUGAUGAGUGCAGGAAAAAGAAGAAGUCCAAGAAAAGAAAGCAAGAUACAAUAGUGCAGACAGGGUGCAGAGCAAGGAUGGUUGUGAAGCUAAAGGAUGGUCAGUGGGAGGUGGUUUUCUUUAUUGCUGAACACAAUCAUGCAUUGGUUGAUAAGCCAUCACUAACUAAGUACCUUCGAUCACACCAAGGGAUCCCUCCAGAAGAGAAACUGUUCCUGGAAAAUCUUCAUAAUUGUAAUUUGACCACUGAUGUGUGCACUUUUCAAAAAUACAUUUUGCAUUACUACAUUAGCAUUCCAAAAAAUCUGCAUUUACAUUUCAUGCAAAAGAAACACUCUGCAUUUACAGCUGCAGCAACUAGUUGCAACCCAAAAAAACCUUGGGAAGAAUAG